GAUGAUAUAGAUAUUGAUAGUGAUUUCAGAAAGGAUGAUUUUUAUUACUUGUCUCAAGAAGACAAAGAGAGACAGAAGCGUGAGCAUGAAGAAUCCAAGAGGGUGCUCCAAGAAUUAAAAUCUGUGCUGGGAUUUAAAGCUUCAGAGGCAGAAAGGCAGAAGUGGAAGCAACUUCUAUUUAGUGAUCAUGGGGUAAAGUCCGCAUGGAAUUAGAGGGGGAAAGUCUGCACUGGAACCUGCUGUGGCCAUUUUUUUUCUGUUGUUGCUGCUUCUCUAGUGGAGUUACUGCAGCUUAGGGAUGGUUCCUGGAAGUGGACACAUUUUACAAAAACGUUUUUUAAAUACACGCCAGCUCUUCGAGAAGCACUUUUUUCCUUCCGUCAUGCUUCAUACUAUAUUGUAUUGUACUAACCCCUCAUGCUGGGAUGAGCGACUGCCUAGCAAGCAACCCACUGCCUACUAACAUCAAGAGGGGCUAAAUAAAACUGCAUUUUCCUUGCAAGGACAACUUCUACCGUAUGAAUAUAUAUUAUAUUUAUGUAUUAUAUUUUGUACAAUAGUUGAUCUUGAAUGCAGACU
RNAcentral lists this small RNA (579 nucleotides) under Pan troglodytes (chimpanzee). RNAcentral describes it as "processed transcript". Lineage: Eukaryota; Metazoa; Chordata; Mammalia; Primates; Hominidae. The record is from RNAcentral.